Molecule: transfer RNA, 69 nt
Filed under: Potanthus flavus
Lineage: Eukaryota; Metazoa; Arthropoda; Insecta; Lepidoptera; Hesperiidae
Description: tRNA-Cys
Source: RNAcentral
AGCUUUAUAUUCAAUAAUGAUGUAAAAUUGCAAAUUUUAAGGAAUAAUAACAAUAUAUUAUUAAGGCUU